GACGAACGCUGGCGGCGUGCUUAACACAUGCAAGUCGAACGGUGAAGCGCCUUCCUUUUUGGUGGGUGUGGAUGAGUGGCGAACGGGUGAGUAACACGUGAGUAACCUGCCCCCUUCUUCUGGAUAACCGCAUGAAAGUGUGGCUAAUACGGGAUAUUCUGGGUCUGUCGCAUGAUGGGUCUGGGAAAGAUAUUGUUUCGGUGGGGGAUGGGCUCGCGGCCUAUCAGCUUGUUGGUGGGGUGAUGGCCUACCAAGGCGGUGACGGGUAGCCGGCCUGAGGGUGGGGACGGUCAGACUGGGACUGGGACCCGGCCCAGUCUGGUACGGGGGGCAGGGGUAGGGAAGACUGCAGGAGGGAGGCUAGCCUAAUGCAGCGGAGCCGGGUGAGGGAUGGAGGCGUUCGGGUUGUGAGCCUCUUUGGCAAGAAAAGCAGGCCUGCCUCGUUUGUGGGUGGGUUCGGGGUAGAUGGAUAAGACGCCGCCGAAAACUGCG
RNAcentral lists this ribosomal RNA (492 nucleotides) under uncultured bacterium. Its description in RNAcentral is "partial 16S ribosomal RNA". It matches the Rfam family "Bacterial small subunit ribosomal RNA", at positions 28 to 505 of the family's 1533-position model. The record is from RNAcentral.